This 72-nucleotide transfer RNA is filed under the name Ovis aries (sheep). It matches the Rfam family "tRNA". Rfam says of the family: Transfer RNA (tRNA) molecules are approximately 80 nucleotides in length. The record is from Rfam by way of RNAcentral. Lineage: Eukaryota; Metazoa; Chordata; Mammalia; Artiodactyla; Bovidae. RNAcentral also lists the same sequence under 1 other name.
UCCCUUGUAGCUCAGUCGGUAAAGAAUCUGCCUGCAAUGCAGGAGACCCGGGUUCGAUCCCUGGGUUGGGAA